RNAcentral lists this transfer RNA (74 nucleotides) under Kluyvera georgiana. RNAcentral's name for it is "tRNA-Met". It matches the Rfam family "tRNA". From Rfam's summary of the family: Transfer RNA (tRNA) molecules are approximately 80 nucleotides in length. Their secondary structure includes four short double-helical elements and three loops (D, anti-codon, and T loops). Further hydrogen bonds mediate the characteristic L-shaped molecular structure. tRNAs have two regions of fundamental functional importance: the anti-codon, which is responsible for specific mRNA codon recognition, and the 3' end, to which the tRNAs corresponding amino acid is attached (by aminoacyl-tRNA synthetases). tRNAs cope with the degeneracy of the genetic code in two manners: having more than one tRNA (with a specific anti-codon) for a particular amino acid; and 'wobble' base-pairing, i.e. permitting non-standard base-pairing at the 3rd anti-codon position. Lineage: Bacteria; Pseudomonadati; Pseudomonadota; Gammaproteobacteria; Enterobacterales; Enterobacteriaceae. The record is from RNAcentral.
GGCCCUUAGCUCAGUGGUUAGAGCAGGCGACUCAUAAUCGCUUGGUCGUUGGUUCAAACCCAACAAGGCCACCA